UGACAAUGAUGCAAACUUUUUUCACUUAAAACUACCAUGAGGAGUAAAACUGAGCUUUUUAACACUGAGUCAC
This 73-nucleotide small nucleolar RNA is filed under the name Carlito syrichta (Philippine tarsier). The record is from RNAcentral. Lineage: Eukaryota; Metazoa; Chordata; Mammalia; Primates; Tarsiidae.